Molecule: ribosomal RNA, 1550 nt
Filed under: Bacillus subtilis
Lineage: Bacteria; Bacillati; Bacillota; Bacilli; Caryophanales; Bacillaceae
Description: 16S ribosomal RNA
Rfam family: Bacterial small subunit ribosomal RNA
Source: RNAcentral
UUAUCGGAGAGUUUGAUCCUGGCUCAGGACGAACGCUGGCGGCGUGCCUAAUACAUGCAAGUCGAGCGGACAGAUGGGAGCUUGCUCCCUGAUGUUAGCGGCGGACGGGUGAGUAACACGUGGGUAACCUGCCUGUAAGACUGGGAUAACUCCGGGAAACCGGGGCUAAUACCGGAUGGUUGUUUGAACCGCAUGGUUCAAACAUAAAAGGUGGCUUCGGCUACCACUUACAGAUGGACCCGCGGCGCAUUAGCUAGUUGGUGAGGUAACGGCUCACCAAGGCAACGAUGCGUAGCCGACCUGAGAGGGUGAUCUACCACACUGGGACUGAGACACGUACCAGACUCCUACGGGAGGCAGCAGUAGGGAAUCUUCCGCAAUGGACGAAAGUCUGACGGAGCAACGCCGCGUGAGUGAUGAAGGUUUUCGGAUCGUAAAGCUCUGUUGUUAGGGAAGAACAAGUACCGUUCGAAUAGGGCGGUACCUUGACGGUACCUAACCAGAAAGCCACGGCUAACUACGUGCCAGCAGCCGCGGUAAUACGUAGGUGGCAAGCGUUGUCCGGAAUUAUUGGGCGUAAAGGGCUCGCAGGCGGUUUCUUAAGUCUGAUGUGAAAGCCCCCGGCUCAACCGGGGAGGGUCAUUGGAAACUGGGGAACUUGAGUGCAGAAGAGGAGAGUGGAAUUCCACGUGUAGCGGUGAAAUGCGUAGAGAUGUGGAGGAACACCAGUGGCGAAGGCGACUCUCUGGUCUGUAACUGACGCUGAGGAGCGAAAGCGUGGGGAGCGAACAGGAUUAGAUACCCUGGUAGUCCACGCCGUAAACGAUGAGUGCUAAGUGUUAGGGGGUUUCCGCCCCUUAGUGCUGCAGCUAACGCAUUAAGCACUCCGCCUGGGGAGUACGGUCGCAAGACUGAAACUCAAAGGAAUUGACGGGGGCCCGCACAAGCGGUGGAGCAUGUGGUUUAAUUCGAAGCAACGCGAAGAACCUUACCAGGUCUUGACAUCCUCUGACAAUCCUAGAGAUAGGACGUCCCCUUCGGGGGCAGAGUGACAGGUGGUGCAUGGUUGUCGUCAGCUCGUGUCGUGAGAUGUUGGGUUAAGUCCCGCAACGAGCGCAACCCUUGAUCUUAGUUGCCAGCAUUCAGUUGGGCACUCUAAGGUGACUGCCGGUGACAAACCGGAGGAAGGUGGGGAUGACGUCAAAUCAUCAUGCCCCUUAUGACCUGGGCUACACACGUGCUACAAUGGACAGAACAAAGGGCAGCGAAACCGCGAGGUUAAGCCAAUCCCACAAAUCUGUUCUCAGUUCGGAUCGCAGUCUGCAACUCGACUGCGUGAAGCUGGAAUCGCUAGUAAUCGCGGAUCAGCAUGCCGCGGUGAAUACGUUCCCGAGCCUUGUACACACCGCCCGUCACACCACGAGAGUUUGUAACACCCGAAGUCGGUGAGGUAACCUUUUAGGAGCCAGCCGCCGAAGGUGGGACAGAUGAUUGGGGUGAAGUCGUAACAAGGUAGCCGUAUCGGAAGGUGCGGCUGGAUCACCUCCUUU